Molecule: ribosomal RNA, 185 nt
Filed under: Euplotes focardii
Lineage: Eukaryota; Ciliophora; Spirotrichea; Euplotida; Euplotidae
Description: partial Eukaryotic large subunit ribosomal RNA
Rfam family: Eukaryotic large subunit ribosomal RNA
Source: RNAcentral
CAGCGGAAUCGGUUUGGCCGGAGAAGCUGUGUUGGCGCUGGCAAAGCUGCGACACUUGUCGCGGCCCGGUGCAUGUGAAACGACCCGUGAAAAUUGAGGUGAGCACAACGCAAGUAGACUUUGCGCUCGGCCGUACUGAUAACCGCAUCAGGUCUCCAAGGUGAGCAGCCUCUAGUCGAUAGAAG